GGUCUGGGGCCCCGCGGGCGCGCAGUGCUGCGGCGUGUGGGGAGUACGGGGAGGCUGGAGAGGAGCCGGCCCCGGGCAGUGUGAGGUGCGGAAGCGCGGUCCAGACACUUUGCUGACGGGAGGCCGGUCCGCCAGAUCCGGGAGGUGGGGCCUCGUUCUGGACUGCUGAGAAUGAUAAGGGGAGAGAGUAAGAAAGCAAUGAGAUACACAUGUCUUGACUGCUUCUCUUCAUGCUGAAAUCCUGGGGGAAAGAAGUGCUAAAUCAGUUGAGGACAUGGGAACAUUUAUUCUGGAAGAAAUUUGGGUACAGAGACAGACAAGCACCAAGAGAAGAUGAUGUGAAGAAGCACAGCGAGAACACCAUGUGAAAAUGGAGGACUGGAAUGAAGCAUCUACAAGCCAGGAAAUGUCUGAGGCUACCAGAAGCCAGGAGAGAGGCCUGGAACAGAUCCUGCACUAGAACCUUCAAAGAGAGCAUGGUCCUGCUGACAUGUUGAUUUUGGACUUCUGGCCUCCAGAGCUGUGAGAAU
This 530-nucleotide long non-coding RNA is filed under the name Homo sapiens (human). Its description in RNAcentral is "HSALNT0320230". Lineage: Eukaryota; Metazoa; Chordata; Mammalia; Primates; Hominidae. The record is from RNAcentral.